This 719-nucleotide ribosomal RNA is filed under the name Triticum aestivum (bread wheat). RNAcentral's name for it is "partial small subunit ribosomal RNA". Lineage: Eukaryota; Viridiplantae; Streptophyta; Magnoliopsida; Poales; Poaceae. The record is from RNAcentral.
CUGUGAUGUAAUGUGGCCAAUCUGAGCAGCAAAAAACCUACACGCUCAGCAUUCUUUCAUCCCUAGCACAACCUGAGAAAUUGCAAAGCAUAAUCUUGUGAGGAUAGAAAUAUUCAGAGAGGGCUGAAAAGAGGGAGUGUGCACCUAGUACGGCUAUAGUUGGUUCCCAGACAUGGAUGUGAGCAGGCAUUCGUGGUCUAUGUGUAUGGCAGAGGGGUUAUAAGCACAACCUUUUCCGCAUUUGCAGGGUAAUGAAGCAGGAGAUAAUGACGACCGUAAAUUUAGUGUUGUGAGGCCGUUUCAUAUGCAUUUGUGGCAUGGAGGUGGAAGAGUUUGCGACAUAAAAGCGGGUAAGACGAAGGAAUAUGAUGGAAUUAAUGCUCAUCUGUGGAGCGGCGGUGACUGGCAGGGGGCCGUUGGGCAUGGCGGUGUAAGUCACCGGCGAUGGCUGGCCAUGAGGACCAUCGAUUGGGGCGUGGCGGCUGAAUCCAUGGUGGCGGCGGCUUGAUCCCGCAUCUCUGGAGAGGUUGCUUAUCGAGGACCGCCGGCGGUGAGGGCGGCAGGGUCAGCAGGGGCGGCUGGCCAGAGGCAAGCAUGGUUGGUGGCGGCUGGCCGGGGAAGGGUAGGUCGUGCACAUCUGCCGGAAGGGAUUGUUGCGGCGGCGGCUGGAUGGAAGGGAUUUUCUUUAGCUAUUCUUGAGGGAAGGGUGUGGGUCGUCC